Psammomys obesus (fat sand rat) is the source of this 245-nucleotide long non-coding RNA. RefSeq lists it as uncharacterized. The record is from RefSeq and is a predicted model, not a curated record. The transcript is spliced from 3 exons. Lineage: Eukaryota; Metazoa; Chordata; Mammalia; Rodentia; Muridae.
CACGGUGUCUGUCUGUAGCUCACGCCCUUGAAUGGCCCUGGAGUGGGACAAUACAAGAUGGGUGUGCUCGAAAACAAACCUUGGGAAUGACUUCAAAGCGAACACAAUCCUCCUGAAGUCGCAGUGGAGAGAGAAGGUUUCAAAGAGGAUCCCAGGUCCCCUCCAUGACUUGGCACCUAAUGGUGUGUAUCAUAAGGGCAGACGUCAAAGACAUUUCUCAUUGACUGACUGGAAGCUUCCAUCGA